AACAAACAUGUGGUGAUUGAAGAACUGUUGCAGUUUCUCAUUGAGAGAUUUGACCAGAUCUGAGGAAUUAAGACCCAUCAGAUUUUUGGUUGAACUUUAUAAGGAGAAAAUUGGAUUCCAGUUGCAUUGUAAUGUGGCAGAUGUGCUGGUGCCAACUUACGAAUCGAGAGGAGUUGUCGUUCCUGACAGUCUUGGCAUUACCGAAGGCCUCCAGGAGAGGGUUAGCCUGGAUGAUUUGAUCCUCCAGUGUCCCCUAGAGAGUUGGAAGGCCCCAUUCGCAUUGUUUUACUCUUGGACAUACCAGUGCACAACUAUGGUAAAGCUCAACAUCUUACAUAAAUCAUCCAAGCUGCGUAACGUUCCUUGAGGUUGAAGAGAACAGACGGCUCAUUGAGCUGCUGCAAAGAAGAUGUCAGUAUUGGAGAAAGUUCUGAGGAACGCCUGAGAAAUAAGACAGAUUCAGCCAGAGGUGUUCAGUGGGGAACUACAACUCUCAGCAUGCCGGGCUAUAACAGUCUGACCAUGAAGCACAGAGUCCAGCCAGCGGUGAGGUGAAUGUCAUCGCCAUCUAGUGGUCGUAAGUGGCAUGUAUA
Molecule: long non-coding RNA, 593 nt
Organism: Hyla sarda
Lineage: Eukaryota; Metazoa; Chordata; Amphibia; Anura; Hylidae
Exons: 6
Source: RefSeq, a predicted model, not a curated record